Molecule: non-coding RNA, 412 nt
Organism: Cherax quadricarinatus
Lineage: Eukaryota; Metazoa; Arthropoda; Malacostraca; Decapoda; Parastacidae
Source: RefSeq, a predicted model, not a curated record
GUACAGUUCAAGAUGUCUCCACCGUCCUGCCUCUCACUGCUGACAGUAACACUAAUCGCCUUUCUUCCAAAUGGAGCAGUAGUCCACUGACUGGUGGCAGCAUCUUUGGUAUCACUCUGGCUGUGGUGUUGGUGGCAGCCAUUUUUGGAUACACAGCUUACACCUACUUGAAGAAGAAACCAAAACUUGCUGGAUACGGCAGCACUCUCCACUUCCAGAAUGCUCUGUAUUCCACUAGAGAAAACAUAAGCAUCACAGAGCCACUGGGUGCCGAGGCCACCAUUGAUAUAGAAGACGGUAGUGUUCGUACACAUGAAUAAGAAGCAAGCCAACAGUGUCCAGUUAUCAUUCCAUCAGAUUUUUGUUUACAAAUACUUUAAUGGAUAUAGAAAAAAGUAAUGAUUUAACACAA